This is a non-coding RNA of Podarcis lilfordi (Lilford's wall lizard), 77 nucleotides long. NCBI's taxonomy places the organism in Eukaryota, Metazoa, Chordata, Lepidosauria, Squamata, Lacertidae. The record is from the annotation of a GenBank genome assembly.
UGCAAAACAGCUCAGCUGGUCAGAGCGUGGUGCUGAUCAUGCCCAGGUCGCAGGUUCGAUCCCUGUUAUUCCUGCAU